Molecule: transfer RNA, 73 nt
Filed under: Phrynosoma platyrhinos (Desert horned lizard)
Lineage: Eukaryota; Metazoa; Chordata; Lepidosauria; Squamata; Phrynosomatidae
Description: tRNA-OTHER
Source: RNAcentral
AGCCACCAUGGUGUAGUGGUUUGUACAUUGGACUAUGACUCUGGAGACCAGGGUUCGAAUCUCUGCUUAGCUA